UGGGGAAUAUUGGACAAUGGGCGCAAGCCUGAUCCAGCCAUGCCGCGUGAGUGAUGAAGGCCUUAGGGUUGUAAAGCUCUUUCGGCGGGGACGAUAAUGACGGUACCCGCAGAAGAAGCCCCGGCUAACUUCGUGCCAGCAGCCGCGGUAAUACGAAGGGGGCUAGCGUUGCUCGGAAUCACUGGGCGUAAAGGGCGCGUAGGCGGACAUUUAAGUCGGGGGUGAAAGCCCAGGGCUCAACCCUGGAAUUGCCUCCGAUACUGGGUGUCUCGAGACCGGAAGAGGUGAGUGGAACUGCGAGUGUAGAGGUGAAAUUCGUAGAUAUUCGCAAGAACACCAGUGGCGAAGGCGGCUCACUGGUCCGGUUCUGACGCUGAGGCGCGAAAGCGUGGGGAGCAAACAGGAUUAGAUACCCUGGUAGUCCACGCCGUAAACGAUGGAUGCUAGCCGUUGGCAGGCUUGCCUGUCAGUGGCGCAGCUAACGCUUUAA
RNAcentral lists this ribosomal RNA (490 nucleotides) under uncultured bacterium. RNAcentral describes it as "partial 16S ribosomal RNA". It matches the Rfam family "Bacterial small subunit ribosomal RNA", at positions 355 to 863 of the family's 1533-position model. The record is from RNAcentral.